GUGGGGAAUCUUAGACAAUGGGCGCAAGCCUGAUCUAGCCAUGCCGCGUGAGCGAUGAAGGCCUUAGGGUUGUAAAGCUCUUUCAGUGGGGAAGAUAAUGACUGUACCCACAGAAGAAGCCCCGGCUAACUCCGUGCCAGCAGCCGCGGUAAUACGGAGGGGGCUAGCGUUGUUCGGAAUUACUGGGCGUAAAGCGCACGUAGGCGGAUGGACAAGUCAGAGGUGAAAUCCCAGGGCUCAACCUUGGAACUGCCUUUGAAACUUUCCAUCUUGAGGUCGAGAGAGGUGAGUGGAAUUCCGAGUGUAGAGGUGAAAUUCGUAGAUAUUCGGAGGAACACCAGUGGCGAAGGCGGCUCACUGGCUCGAUACUGACGCUGAGGUGCGAAAGCGUGGGGAGCAAACAGGAUUAGAAACCCGAGUAGUCC
Molecule: ribosomal RNA, 425 nt
Filed under: uncultured bacterium
Lineage: Bacteria
Description: bacterial SSU rRNA
Rfam family: Bacterial small subunit ribosomal RNA
Source: RNAcentral